This 73-nucleotide transfer RNA is filed under the name Ovis aries (sheep). It matches the Rfam family "tRNA". Rfam says of the family: Transfer RNA (tRNA) molecules are approximately 80 nucleotides in length. The record is from Rfam by way of RNAcentral. Lineage: Eukaryota; Metazoa; Chordata; Mammalia; Artiodactyla; Bovidae.
UCCCUAAUGGUCCAGUGGCUAAGACUCCAUGCUUCCAAUGCACAGAGCCCAGGUUCAAUCCCUGGUUAGGGAA